UACGUAGGGUGCAAGCGUUGUCCGGAAUUAUUGGGCGUAAAGAGUUCGUAGGCGGUUUGUCGCGUCCGUUGUGAAAACCCGCGGCUCAACCGCGUGGCUUGCAGUCGAUACGGGCAGGCUAGAAUUCGGUAGGGGAGACUGGAAUUCCUGGUGUAGCGGUGAAAUGCGCAGAUAUCAGGAGGAACACCGGUGGCGAAGGCGGGUCUCUGGGCCGAUAUUGACGCUGAGGAGCGAAAGCGUGGGGAGCGAACAGG
RNAcentral lists this ribosomal RNA (254 nucleotides) under uncultured bacterium. RNAcentral describes it as "partial 16S ribosomal RNA". It matches the Rfam family "Bacterial small subunit ribosomal RNA", at positions 524 to 776 of the family's 1533-position model. The record is from RNAcentral.